Molecule: ribosomal RNA, 495 nt
Filed under: uncultured bacterium
Lineage: Bacteria
Description: bacterial SSU rRNA
Rfam family: Bacterial small subunit ribosomal RNA
Source: RNAcentral
AGCGAACGUUGGCGGCACGCCUAACACAUGCAAGUCGAACGCGAAAAGCAUUCGUGCUGAGUAGAGUGGCGCAAGGGUGAGUAACACGUAAGUAAUCUGCCCUUUGGAUUGGGAUAACAUGCCGAAAGGCGUGCUAAUACCGAAUAAGACCACGACUUCUGCGGAAGUUGCGAGAAAAGACGGGGACCCGAAAGGACCUGUCACCGAAGGAUGAGCUUGCGGCCUAUCAGCUAGUUGGCGGGGUAACGGCCCACCAAGGCAAAGACGGGUAGCUGGUCUGAGAGGAUGAUCAGCCACACUGGAACUGAGACACGGUCCAGACUCCUACGGGAGGCAGCAGUGGGGAAUUUUGCACAAUGGACGAAAGCCUGAUGCAGCGACGCCGCGUGUGCGAUGAAGGCCUUUGGGUCGUAAAGCACUGUCGAACGGGACGAAAACUGAAGUGCUAACACCAUUUCAGUCUGACGGUACUGUUAAAGGAAGCACCGGCUAACU